This 1249-nucleotide long non-coding RNA is filed under the name Junco hyemalis (dark-eyed junco). RNAcentral describes it as "lncRNA (ENSJHYG00000005662.1)". Lineage: Eukaryota; Metazoa; Chordata; Aves; Passeriformes; Passerellidae. The record is from RNAcentral.
UUCAAAGCAGAAAUAAAAGGAAGUAGGGAGGAAGAGGGAGGAAGAGGAGAGGGCACUCUCCCAGCCUCACUGGACAUGGAUUGGUGGGGUAAUGGAAGACCUAAACACCAUCAGAAGGCAGCCAGGAAGAGCUUUUCCAAGUCUUGCCUAAGGAAUCUGUUCUAAAAUCUUAUUAAUGACUAAUGGGAUUCCUGUAUCUCCCUCCCACGCAGUGCUCUGAACCUACAAAUAACAGGAUUUGUGUGCCUGCCCUCCUACACACCUCCAACCCUCCAAGAAAGGCUUUGGGAAGAAAACAAACUUCAACGUGUGCACGUUCUCAUUAUGAGCAGGCAGGAGGAGAGCUCCAUUCCCUUCCCAGCUGGCUGAGAUCCAGGGAUGGAGCACAGGGAUGGAGAGGGUGGAAAUGGGCCUGCAGCCAGAAGAACUUGAGAGGUUCCUGACAAGUCUGAAGGGAAGAGUGAUGGCAGGAAAGGAGCUGCACAUCCCUGAGUGCUCGUGAGUGGGAGUGCAGGACAGUGGUGUGGCUGAGCAGGAAGGACAGGGAGCUCUGGAGCCCUGGGGAUGCUGAGAGGGAUUUCCAGCUUGUCCUGGCAAAAGCACUUCCAAAAGCUCUCAAAGUCAUUUCCACCCAGAACCUCGAGAUUUCCAAGGAUCCUGUCCAAAACUCUGCAGGAUCAAGCUUUGUACCUGCCCUUCCUGGUGCAAGAUGAAGAACUCUGUCUCCACCGAAAACAAAAGAAGGUUCUGUCGCAAGACAAAUUGAAUCAAAUUCUCCAGGAGUUUUCCAGUUCAAUUAAGCUGUGGGAUAGUCCCUAUCUUAGGUGCAAAUCUCUCUGUGCAUUACAGGACCACAGACAGGGAUGUGGCAAAAGGUAAAACUGGGAGUUAUGUCUUUAAGGGCUGGUUGGAGACACUUGUAAUCUCGUUUUAUUGGUGGUACCCUCCCCAGCAUAAUGAACUUUGAUGAAAUUGCUGUGGCGCCUGUGAAGCUGAGCAGGCUUUGCCAGGGAAAGACCUCCCAUGAACAAAAUCGCCUGGGCAACAACUCCACACUGCAGCCAAGCCAGAAACUCUGGCAAAGUCACCUCUUCCCAUCCCUUAACUCCUGCAAGUCUCCUUUUCAAGCCUUGCAUAUUAAAAAAAAAAAAAAUUAAAAAAUAUAUUUACCACUUAUGUGCAUGGCUGAGGGAUAGAGCUUAAAAACAAAAUUAAUAAAUUUUGUGAGAGUCCACUGUGUGGUUGAAAA